UACGUAGGGGGCAAGCGUUGUCCGGAAUUAUUGGGCGUAAAGCGCGCGCAGGCGGUCAUUUAAGUCUGGUGUUUAAGGCCAAGGCUCAACCUUGGUUCGCACUGGAAACUGGGUGACUUGAGUGCAGAAGAGGAGAGUGGAAUUCCACGUGUAGCGGUGAAAUGCGUAGAUAUGUGGAGGAACACCAGUGGCGAAGGCGACUCUCUGGGCUGUAACUGACGCUGAGGCGCGAAAGCGUGGGGAGCAAACA
Molecule: ribosomal RNA, 250 nt
Filed under: uncultured bacterium
Lineage: Bacteria
Description: partial 16S ribosomal RNA
Rfam family: Bacterial small subunit ribosomal RNA
Source: RNAcentral